GCUGCACACAGUAACUGCACUCCGCGCUCUCACUGUUAAUAACUUUGCCGCGUCGUUAAGUAUUAAUUUAAGCCAUUUUCGUGUUGCGCACAUGUAUGUUUAUGAUGUAUCUAGUUUAGUUAGCACUUUGGAUAACAUUGAGAGUCCAAUUGAAUGUAAAAGAGGGGUUUUUCAGCGCCACAAAAGCGUUGGGAGCAAAAUUUUAUAAGGGAGAAAAUUUGGACAGAACACCGGAUCCAGUCACGACAUUCCCAUAGGGAUCCAUUAUACGAUUUUACUUCCGGCUACUUCCGGGUUAUGGAGCCUUGGAUAGUUACAAACAUCGCAUUUGACAGGGCGGACACCAUUCAUUUGAACGGCAGGCUGUCAAGUAUAUUUGGAGAGGCCCUUUGUGACAUAGAUUUAUCUGUCAUGUGUUGCAUUUAUAUAUGAUAUACAUCAUGCUGGUGCCUGCUAAUGGUGACUACUGGAUGCGACUGGUGGCUGUGGCGACUGAGGGAGACUGGUGGCUGUAGACAGUGUGGUGGGAAUAAAGAGGGCAAAUUCACCAAUGGAGAGGAGAAAGCUUUGAUGCACAUGGAUUGAAUUCUCAAUAUUCUCAAUCGCAGCCUAAUCUGCUCCACAACAUUGGAGGAUUCCUUGAGGGAAUCAUUCGUUGCCAAACGGAACAGCUGCUCGACAUCCUUUAAGAGAGUGAAGACCUCAUCCGAUGGCCGGUGCUUCAACCAAUGCACACUGGCAUUGGUUGCAGAGUGAGAAGCUGAUGACCCUCUUCACUAUGCAUCCUGCCAGAUGGUCACAUUUUCAAAAUCCGCUUCUGCUGGGGACUGCUGCUGGUGCCUGCUGGCUUUGGGCACGAAGCCCAUUUUUCAAAUAGCAAAAAAACAUUAAAUAAGCCUUUUAUUUCAUGUUUUGACGGCUGACCAUUGCCAUCCAUUUUUUUCUGCUGUUCUUGUUCUUCCCAUGCUGUACAACCAGCCAUCACAGGCCACUGAUCUAUAAAAUGUUAGGUGUAAACAACCAUGACACCAGUUUCACCAAUUGUUCCACAAAAAUGUUUUACUUCAUCAAAGGGUAAUAAGUUAUUGUUAUACAUUACACCAUGUUACAGAAAAUAAUACAAUUUUGUUCCUGUCUUGUAAUCAUUUUAUUUGUGUUGCUUGAGUCCAAACUAAAUGAAAAAUGCCUCUAAAAAGGUACAGGUUUGGUUUUGCUAAAUUUAGAGGCUAUAUUCAAAAUUAUAUUUGUUAAACCUAAUAUCUUUGUGUUUCAGGUCAAACUAAGUCUAUAAAAUAAAAAGGAAAAUGUACACACAUAUAUAUUAGAAAGUACAACAGUAAAAAAAAAGUGGAAAAUAGAAUUCAAAAGACCUCCAACUUUUCGGGAAACAAGUGUUUUUAUAUGUCAAUGCGACGAAACAAACUAGGAUGUGCCAUUUAGAAUUUAGGAACAAACGAUGUCAUACAUGGUGUUAUCUUUGAUAUAUUACCACAGGUAGGUGAAUCAAGGAAAUCGAGACAUUCUCUGGAAAAACAGUAUUCUUGUGACAAAAGAAAAACCUAAAUCAUCUUGCAUUUCAAUGUAAAAGUCGAUUUCUCGUGCAAAUGCUAAAACAAACAUCAAACUUUCACUGCACGUGGGAAAGUUCCUUUCUGCGUAACAGUUUACAUAGUUUUCAGUUGUCGCCUUACCCUUCCAAAUGUAAAACUAGCAUUUAAAUAUAUGUUAUAAUGCAAUUAAAUAAUCAAACUAGUACUUAGAUACGCAAUUUUUUCCAUUUUCCCAUAAAUGUCACAAUUACCGCUGUCAGUUCCAUUAUAACCCCUACAGCGCUGCUUGUGCUUGGAACUAUCCACACCCUGCUGGAACCACGUGACCACCUGCGGUGACAUCAAAGAGUGUCGCGACUCUCUUUACACAGCUCUGAUUUGGCCUAUCCAGCAUUCAGGAACCAGAAAUUGAUAAAAGAUGUUAUAACUUAAGUUUUAAUUUUGGGCAAAAUUUCAAACUCAUUGUGUAAAAUAUGUAAAUCAAUGACCAAAUUUUCAUGUUUUUGGAAAAAUGUUUUCUUUACACUUGGACAGAGGUGGUCAGUAACGCGUUACAUGUACACCAUUACAUUUACUUGAGUAACUUUUUGAGAAAAAUGUACUUCUAAGAGUAGUUUUACUAUGCUAUUCUUUUACUUUUACUCAAGUAGAUUUCUAAAGAAAAAAACUACUCUUAUGCCGCUACUUUGGGCUACACAAGAUUCGUUACAUUUUCCCUCUUUAUUCUACAUAUUAGAUUUAUUAUUCUUUUUGCAAGCGAUGCUAAGAGUUGAGACGUGCCUGGUGUAUUACCAGGGUAGCUCUACCGAUUUCACCAGAGAUGUUUCAACAAUAGUCACAUGACUCCAUUAUGCCAAUCCCACGCAAGCUUGCUGUUCUAUCCUCAUGCCAGCCUAUUCAAUCACGUGGUGUCCGUAAGAAAUGAAGUAUUUGAUAUAGAGCGCUGCCCUCAACAUGAGCUGAAAGUGCAAAUUUAACCUCUCUCCCAGUUUUUAUUUGGCACCGAUUGACCACGGAAAACCGGAGAUAUGAUCUUUUUAAUUUCAGAAUUGUAGUUAUGUAGGCAGUCAUAGUCUUUGGAUGAAUAACGCUUCAGUUUUAUGCAAUUUUUUUUUUUUCUCUUGUCGGAAUUCAAAGAUUUUUUUUUUCCUCCUUUGGCUUACUGUGGUUAUGUAAUGGGUUAUUGUAAAGUAUCAUAACAGUUCAAAUAGAUAACUUUGUGCUUAAAAAAAUAAAUAAAUCCAACCAAAAUAUAAGCAGUUACUCACAAUGUUACUCAUUACUUGAGUAUUCUUUUCACCAAAUACUUUAUUUGUACUUGAGUACAUUUUUUGGACAACUACUUGGGUAGUACUAUUUUGAAGCUGCACUACUCGAGUAAAAUUUUUGGCUACUCUACCCACCUCUGAUCCUGAAGGGUUACUUUCAGUGGAAAUAUCACUGAUAUCGUGACUGCUGCUAUGCAUAGUCUUCUCUUGCGUUUGGGAAUUUACAUCACACUUACGGGUUUGGGAAUGCAGUAUUGAUGGAGUGCUAAAAAAACCUAAAAAAUGCAAAUUAUCCUGGCAGUUACAAUUUAGAAAUGACAUGGUUGUUUCGAUAAACUCGUCUAAAGUUUAUAUUCGUAAAAUUACACCAAAAUCCGAAAAGCUCUUCACCUGCCCUUUAACACUGGGAAUUACCACUACCUCGUAGUCUGCAAUGAUUAUUACUACUGAAGUGUGGUUUUAGUCUUACAAUAUUAAUUUUCUAAUUUUUUCUAUUAAAUGUUUUUAAUUAACAAGCUCUUUGGUUACAAUCCAACAAAAUCCUCAAGUAUUUUACACUACAGUACCAAUUAAUAAAUUUCAAUUUUACACAUCACCAUUUGUUUAAACAUAGAUUUACAGAUUUUUGCAUAGUUAUUCGAAAAGAAUGUACUGGUUUCAUAAUGCAAUAUUUAAAUAAUAAACUAACAACAACAACUAUUAAAUUCCCAAUUACCGUACCUUGUUUCCCAUCUUUUGUUUCAUUUCUGAUCCAUCAUAAUACAAAGUGACAAAGAAAAAAAUAUGUAUGCUUUAUUUAACUGUAAAAAAAAACAAAAACAAUACAUCUGUCCCAUUUAUCCUUAUCAGGGUCAAAACUUAACUGUACAAACUCACUUUCUGCAUUGAUUCAGGCAAAGAUUUGUAUUGUACCAACAACAGUCCAGGAUAAUUGUUGUUUUUUUUUGUUUGUUUUUUUGUUUUUAACCAUUUUUUGUAAUGAACAUAAUUGAUUAAUCCUCAUGUGACACGAGACCGCUUUCAAUGUCAAAUGAAAAGUAUGACUCUUCAAAAUGUUUGGAAUUUCACAAAAGGCAACAUCUCUACUGCAGAGGUUGUUUGAGCUCAAAAAGCCCUGUUCCCCCUUUUACAACCUUCCCCACAACCAGGCAUGCUGAUGGGGACACUAGAGGAUCUUGGGAGCCUGAAAAACACACAAAAAUAAUCAGGAUAAUAAUAUGACAAUUGACUUGCCACACUUUUUUUCUCAUUGGUAAAAUUAGUGUGAAAUUAAAUUGUACGUCUAAAAAUAUGUCGCUGAGCGAGAGGAUUGGUUACUGUUGAAGUGGUUGAAAGUUGAUUUAUUUAUUUUUUUUAAUAUAUAUAUAGAUUCAGGAAGUAUUUGAACUCAUGUGUUCAUCAUUCUUUCAGGUUAGCUGGGUUUCUACACAUUAACAACAAUUCAUACACUUAUUAGAAUAAGUUAAUCAAACAACAAUUUAAUAGCAUAUUAUUUGAAUUUUCAAGGUGCAUUCAGACCAUCACUGGAUCGAUUCCAGAGAUGAUUUUUGUCGAGGCGUUAAAUUUUGCCCGUUUCUUGAUUUUGUAAACUAAAAUGUACCAAAAAAAUGCAUUGGUCUAAUGAAUCAGCGCACCACACAACAAAGACUACAUUUGAAAUCAUGCAGAGCAUUUUUUUUCCAUAGUGGGAAACCCCCCUAAUCUGUAUACUGAGUGUUUUUCCUCACCCAGCAUGGUUGCCUGUUUGAGAAAUUUGUAGCUGGUCUCAAAAGUCAUCUGCUGCAGAGGGGACGAGUUGGACACCAUAGCAUGGCGAUUUAGUGGUUUAUACACCCCCUCAAAACACAUGUAGUCCGCUACUAGUGAAAGAUGUCUGGGGUCCACCUCGAUACCUAGAGGAAGAUUGAGGGUGGGUAGGUUCAUGAACUUUGGAGGAUUUUUUCAUGAAUGUUUGUAAGCCUACCAUAUACUGCAAAUACAUCUUUGAUUUCUUUCUCUAUGACUUUGAGAGCCACUUCAAUCCCAUAUGUGUUCGCCAUGGCAUGAACCUCAUUGGAAUAAAGUCUGUUGACAUCCAGGAUCUGGAGGAUAUUGCAUAUGAACAGAUGAUUGUAAUAUUUUAACAAUUACAAUGCAAAAUGUGAAUGAAGGAACCGUCCACAUACGUCGCUGUGCUCAAAGAUUGUGUGCAUGUUUAUGCCCUCUGUGUUGAGAACCAUUUCUUUGUCUCCAGUCUUAGUUGUGGUCUCACUCAAAAGGCAUCGAGUCAAUCCCAUGGUCUCCAUUAUAACGGCAUUCUGGGCCAGUGUUGACACAACUGAUGACAGGUCAAAGUGCACUUUACUUACUGGCAAAGCUAGGUCCACCUGUCAAUAAUGGGAACAGCGAACACAGAGUUUAAUGACUUAAUAGGGGAAUUACUUUGAAGAAAUAAUAUGUGUUUUGGCAACAAGAAAAAAAAAAAAAAAAAAACUUACUUCACACCAGAGUUGGUCCUUCAGGUCAUAGCGGUAGCCCUCUAUUGCGGGGUUAGAACUCAGAACAGUGUUCACCCUCAUCUCCUCUGGCAAAUUAUCUCCGCUGUCUUUUUUUGACAUUUUCUUUUCAGUCAUCAAUUUUAUACCCGUUGACUCCGUUUGGGACUCCUCCAUAAUCAUAUCCUCAUUUUCAUGUACCUCCUUCUCUUCCUCCUCUCUAUCUUUAGUCUCAUCUUCCUCAUCACUGUCAUAAUCAACCUACGGAAGAAGAGAGAGUUUGAUUGACAGUUAAUAAUGGUAAUUAAUGGAACUGAACAUUCUGGGAGUAAAAAACUCCAGGAACUUCAGUGUUCCCCCAGAAAACUUGCAAAGCCUGGUGGUAAAAAAGCCUACCACAGCCCACCGUGUUAAAAAAAAAAACACGUUCACUUCACAUGGUUGUCCAUGAUAUUUUGAAAGCUGUAUGUUUAAUCUACAGUACAAGGACUUCUGCACUUUUUGUUUUGUUUUGUCUAGCUAUGAGCGGCAUUAGACAGCAACAUAACGGGUAUGCGCGCUGAGAUUCCGGGCACUUCUUCUGGGGUCACCUCGGGUAUGCGCGCUGAGAUUCCGGGCACUUCUUAUGGGGUCACCUCGGGUAUGCGCACUGAGAUUCCGGGCACUUCUUAUGGGGUCACCUCAUGAUGUUUAGGGAGAUGUGUCCUGAUCAAUCAGCUUUAAACUACUUUUUCCUUAAUGAAUGUAUAAAUCUUAGGUAAUAAAUGCUUUCUCUUGUUCCUGAAUUGUGUGUCGUAAUCUGUUCAUGAAGAGAAUUCAAGAACCUUUAAAAAGGAAAAAUUGACUUUCUUUUCCUUCAGGCUAUACCG
This is a long non-coding RNA of Corythoichthys intestinalis (scribbled pipefish), 6161 nucleotides long. RefSeq lists it as uncharacterized. The transcript has 7 exons. NCBI's taxonomy places the organism in Eukaryota, Metazoa, Chordata, Actinopteri, Syngnathiformes, Syngnathidae. The record is from RefSeq and is a predicted model, not a curated record.